ACUCUCCUAGAUAACGUGGUAUGGGUGGAGACUACCUGUCUGUUUGCUCUUGCUGUAAACCCCUAGCCAGGUUCUGUUGGAAGAGUCAUUUCCCCGAGCCCAGCUUCCCUAAGCUCUUCCCAUGCUGAGCAGGGGAUGGAAACAUAACCCGCUGUGGGGCUAGCGAGCUGACUUCUGGGCAUCCCUCCAUUCCUGCUCAGUUGGUGAUGACUGUUCAGGUGGGGCAGGGCGGAUUAGCUGAUGGCCCAGCACUCUAGAUUAUGAGAUCUGAGUGUAUUAUU
This 281-nucleotide long non-coding RNA is filed under the name Homo sapiens (human). RNAcentral's name for it is "HSALNT0238596". The record is from RNAcentral. Lineage: Eukaryota; Metazoa; Chordata; Mammalia; Primates; Hominidae.